Molecule: long non-coding RNA, 1077 nt
Filed under: Homo sapiens (human)
Lineage: Eukaryota; Metazoa; Chordata; Mammalia; Primates; Hominidae
Description: non-protein coding lnc-COTL1-4:1
Source: RNAcentral
AAGUCAUGAGCUGGAACGCUCAGAAACGAUAUGUACCUUCAAUCAAAUUACAGAAUUAACUAGGGGAAAAUGAGGAAGAACUUUAGGUACAGACAGCGAGAGAUCUUCAAAAUACUAUUAAAAGAAGAAAGCACUCUCGGUGUAAAAAAGAAGCCGAGGCGAGCAGAUCACUUGACUUCAGGAGUUCAAGACCAGCCCAGCCAAAAUGGUGAAAUCCACCUCCACUAAAAAUACAAAAAUUAGCCAGGCAUGGUGGUGGGUGCCUGUAAUCCCAGCUACUUGGGAGGCUGAUGCAGAAGAAUUACGUGAACCUGGAAGGCGGAGGCUGCAGUGAGCCAAGAUGGUGCCACUACACUCCAGCCUGAAUGACAGAGGAAGACUCCGUCUCAAAAAAAAGAAAAAAGAAGAGGUGCUGCUUAUAAAACAGAAUAUGACAACUUUAUUGGGAGGAAAAAAGGUGUUUGGUAAAAUGAGGAAUGUUAUCAAAAGAGGGGAGGAGAAACUGCUGUUCAAAAAAGUCAAUAUCCUGAAAGGCUGUGGGAAACUUCCAGACUACAAAAAGCUAGAGACAUGAUAACUAAAUACAUUUCCUGACCCUAGACUGGAUCCUGUGCUGGAAGGGAAAAUUCUAGAAAGGACAUUAUAUGGUCAACUCCCAAAAUUAGAAUAUGGACAGGUUAGAAAAAAGUACUGCAUCAAUGUAAAUUUGUGAAAGUGGUAACGUAUUACUGUGGUUAUUUAAGAGAAUAUGCCUAUUCUUAGGAAAUACACAUUCAAGAAUUUAGGAUUAAGUGGCUACAGUGUAUGUAAUCUUCCCUGAAAUCUCAAAGGGUUUGGAAAAAUAUUGUAUGUCUGUAUAUUUGCAUUUGUUAGCCCAUGUCUGUGUGUCUGUAUGUGUAUCCGUAUGAGUGUGUAUUUGCAGACAGAGAAUUCCAGCACACACAAAUGAUUAAGCAAAUGGAUUUAAUCUUAACAACAGGUGGAUCUGGGUAAAGGACCAUCUGGGGAUUCUUUGUACUAUUUUUCUUUCCGCAACUUUUCAAGUUUCAAACUAUUUGCAAAUAAAGAGUUUUUGUU